AGGUUCGCUUUAUUAACCAUAUGUGAUACCUAUGUUGGGGUUAGGAUGUGGUAUUCGGAAGUGUAUAAUUAUUGUGCAUUUCCUUGUAGUGAGCUUUCUUAUCUUCUUCCUUCUGAAUGAUUCACUACUAAUUCAAAAUGACAACUACCAAGUUCGCUAUUAGACUAGACCACUAAUCGUUACUUACCAUGAAAAUGUAUCGAGAGUCAUAAAUUCAGUCACCCCCUUUCUAAUAAAGAGGAUCCAUACAAGAUCCAGGUGGUCUGCCUAACCGUAUAAACGACGUAAAAAGCUAAAAAAUUAAAUUAUCUUACUAAAAUGAAGUGUGCUCUUCACCUUCCUAUGCCGCUUCUUCUGUUAAUGCUUUGCUUUCAUACGAUUGAUUGUAGGUAGAAUGCCUCAUUGACUGACCUUACUUUCACUCUAGCUACCUAUUUGACAAAUCAAGUUAUUCUUUGGGGAUAAGCCCUUCCUUUCACCUCAUGAGAAGAAGUCCCAACUCGCUCAAUAUUUAUUCUUAACAUUUAGUUUAGACAGUCGUACGCGUAAGAACUCUCCUUUCGUUGUAGGCUUAGUGUAUAUCGGUGGAAUGUGGAUUGGUGUCUGCCUUUUACCGAGGCUAUGAAAGAGUAGACCAUGGAUCUGUGACAAGACGAGAAACAUGCAAUUUUCUCAGCUUUCAGUCAUAGGAAAAGUCAUUUAAUAGCUUUUACUCUCCAAGCAAUCGAGGAAUUGAAAGAAAUAUCCUAGUCCUUGAUUCUUGUCUUCUUUAUUCUACCUAGUUAGGAGCGGGUAAUAGAAAAAGAGUCUUACCUUGGCCUACGCCGGCUUAGCCUUUGGCUACUUACUCUUCUCCUUGCUUACUUACUUAGCUUAAUCAGUUCCUUUUAUUUUGUCCAAUCGUCAAGAUUUUCUUCUUUCUUUUCCUUGGUAUUUGUUUCCAUCUUCCUUUAGAGCACAAGGCC
Molecule: long non-coding RNA, 965 nt
Filed under: Linum usitatissimum (flax)
Lineage: Eukaryota; Viridiplantae; Streptophyta; Magnoliopsida; Malpighiales; Linaceae
Description: long non-coding RNA (LUSI_LNC004943)
Source: RNAcentral